AUUUAUUAUCUCCUGCUGGCAAUUGUUUGAAGGAUGGCAACAUUUAAUAUCUAUGUGGGGAAUAACCAUAGCACUCAUUUUUGGUGAUUCUCAGUUUAGAUAGAUGGCAGUUAGUGGAAGCAAGCAAUUGUGGCAAAAGGGAACCUUGUGUAACUGUCACAGUUCACAGUACUUGAAACCAGCCUGUCGACUGUGUAUCUCACAGCUCUCUCUUCAUAACCUAUCCAGACAUGGAACUGACAGUGUGCCUCUUUUUAUUUCCCUGAACCUGACCUUGGCUUUGUUGGUAACAGACAACUCUGCAUAUGAAUCAGUGUUCCAAGUAAUCCAGAAAGUGAGCCACUGCUGAGAACAAGAAGGAUCUGGAAAGCCACGAGUCAGCAGAGAAGCCAAGGAGACUCUAAGAUGUCUGGAGAGUCUCCAGAAUCAGCACAGCAUGCUCUCCACCAGGGCUCUGUCCUGCACAGGUAAGAUUGAAGUCUUUUCCCUCUCAGCCACUAUAUUGGAGAUGAAAUGUAUAUGAGUAAUUGAUACUGCUAGCCUGAGGGUCCAACUUCUAAUAUUGUCAUUUUUAAUUUUUUUUUUUUUUAAGUUAGGUAUCUCCAUUAGAAUUCAAAGAUCCAUGAGUGUUAGUGUUGCCUUCAAAGUUGUCAUACUGGUAGGUUAUAUAGAUUUUUAAAAAACACUACUGCCACUUAUCAAGACAAUUGGAG
This 713-nucleotide long non-coding RNA is filed under the name Sus scrofa (pig). RNAcentral describes it as "lncRNA (ENSSSCG00015003674.1)". Lineage: Eukaryota; Metazoa; Chordata; Mammalia; Artiodactyla; Suidae. The record is from RNAcentral.